GAUGAACGCUAGCGGCAGGCUUAAUACAUGCAAGUCGUGGGGCAGCAGGACUGUAGCAAUACAGUUGCUGGCGACCGGCAAACGGGUGCGGAACACGUACGCAACUUACCCUGAACUGGGGGAUAGCCCGGGGAAACCCGGAUUAAUACCCCGUAAUAUAAUGGAGUGGCAUCACUUUAUUAUUAAAGCUCCGGCGGUUCGGGAUGGGCGUGCGGCUGAUUAGGUAGUUGGUUGAGGUAACGGCUCACCAAGCCUACGAUCAGUAACUGGUGUGAGAGCACGACCAGUCACACGGGCACUGAGACACGGGCCCGACUCCUACGGGAGGCAGCAGUAAGGAAUAUUGGGCAAUGGAGGCAACUCUGACCCAGCCAUGCCGCGUGGAGGAUGAAGGCCCUCUGGGUUGUAAACUUCUUUUACAGGGGACGAAACCUGUGUAUUCUUACGCAGUUGACGGUACCCUAGGAAUAAGCACCGGCUAACUCCGUG
This 489-nucleotide ribosomal RNA is filed under the name uncultured bacterium. RNAcentral describes it as "partial 16S ribosomal RNA". It matches the Rfam family "Bacterial small subunit ribosomal RNA", at positions 28 to 507 of the family's 1533-position model. The record is from RNAcentral.